This 427-nucleotide ribosomal RNA is filed under the name uncultured bacterium. Its description in RNAcentral is "partial 16S ribosomal RNA". It matches the Rfam family "Bacterial small subunit ribosomal RNA", at positions 355 to 774 of the family's 1533-position model. The record is from RNAcentral.
UGGGGAAUAUUGGACAAUGGGCGAAAGCCUGAUCCAGCCAUGCCGCGUGUGUGAAGAAGGUCUUCGGAUUGUAAAGCACUUUAAGUUGGGAGGAAGGGCAUUAACCUAAUACGUUAGUGUUUUGACGUUACCGACAGAAUAAGCACCGGCUAACUCUGUGCCAGCAGCCGCGGUAAUACAGAGGGUGCAAGCGUUAAUCGGAAUUACUGGGCGUAAAGCGCGCGUAGGUGGUUUGUUAAGUUGGAUGUGAAAUCCCCGGGGUCAACCUGGGAACUGCAUUCAAAACUGACUGACUAGAGUAUGGUAGAGGGUGGUGGAAUUUCCUGUGUAGCGGUGAAAUGCGUAGAGAUAGGAAGGAACAGCAGUGGCGAAGGCGACCACCUGGACUAAUACUGACACUGAGGUGCGAAAGCGUGGGGAGCAAACA